GAUGAACGCUGGCGGCGUGCCUAAUACAUGCAAGUCGAGCGAACAGACGAGGAGCUUGCUCCUCUGACGUUAGCGGCGGACGGGUGAGUAACACGUGGAUAACCUACCUAUAAGACUGGGAUAACUUCGGGAAACCGGAGCUAAUACCGGAUAAUAUAUUGAACCGCAUGUUUCAAUAGUGAAAGACGGUUUUGCUGUCACUUAUCGAUGGAUCCGCGCCGCAUUAGCUAGUUGGUAAGGUAACGGCUUACCAAGGCAACGAUGCGUAGCCGACCUGAGAGGGUGAUCGGCCACACUGGAACUGAGACACGGUCCAGACUCCUACGGGAGGCAGCAGUAGGGAAUCUUCCGCAAUGGGCGAAAGCUUGACGGAGCAACGCCGCGUGAGUGAUGAAGGUCUUCGGAUCGUAAAACUCUGUUAUUAGGGAAGAACAAAUGUGUAAGUAACUAUGCACGUCUUGACGGUACCUAAUCAGAAAGCCACGGCUAACUACGUG
Molecule: ribosomal RNA, 497 nt
Filed under: uncultured bacterium
Lineage: Bacteria
Description: partial 16S ribosomal RNA
Rfam family: Bacterial small subunit ribosomal RNA
Source: RNAcentral